CCGUCGCUGCUGCUAAGUCCCUUGACAUAUGGACUUUCAUUGACAACGACCACAGUACAGCAACGGCCAUAACCGACAUGACCGGCGGCAUGUUCCCAACAGCCAGCAACCGCAAGCCUUUUGUUCCGCUUCCAUCGACCGCCGGACAUCGUCGCACGUGUCCCCGUAGUUGUCUAAAAGCAUCACAGGGCCAAAAACACCUGCCUCGCACCUCGAUUCGAAGGCCAUGAUAUAAAGAGGGUUGUCAGGUGAGAGGAGGAGGUGCAGUAUUGGACCCUGUUGCAGUUCGGGGUAUUUAGCGGUUUGCACUGCAUCAUUAAUUUUGAUGCUCUGCUGUUGCCGAUGUUGUUGCACUGGUGUGUCUGGUGUGCUGCCAAUGAAGGGAGUUGCCUUUGGGGUACAUAGAUGUUGAAGAACUUUUUGCAAGGUUAAGUGAGGGGAGGAGGUGGGUUGAAAGUGUCAGUCUACAAGGGUCAUCUACAGCUUUGUGGUUUCAAGAGAUCGGCCAGCAAAUAAAGUGAGUUUUGAGAAAUUAAUAAACUUGAAUUCAAUUAUUCGUACUCUGUAGUUCGCCAUCUCUAUGCUCAGCAUUUUUAAUAUCGUGUAUAACUUUUUCAACAUCAUUGCUAAAUCCAAUUAUUUGUUAUUUAUCCAAUUAAACUCAGCCCCAUCGAUUCACCUAAACCCCUUGCCAUUUUCCCAUCCCAGUGACCAGUCAGCCAAAUCGCUGACAAUUUCAUCAAUUUGCUAGACACGACUCUGCCAUGCCAGAGCAUUCGGUCAGGGAAUGAAUCAAAGCCAGCCCGCAAUCUUGCCACCAGUUCCAAUUUUUGCCUUAUCACCCGGCACAAAAGGCGGUUCUCUAAUUAGCCACUGACUGGCUGACUCCCAGACGUCCCCCGCCGACUGGUCAUAGCGGAUUCACCAAUUCACCGAUUCACAGACUCACCCAUUCUCCAAUCCUCAAUCCUUGUCAGACUUUUCAGAGGAGGCGGCGAUGGGAAAGGCAUGCAAUUGGCAUGACAUUGCCAUGUUCCAGCUGGGACAAAGCCCGAAAACCGAAUUGAAAACCAAGGAGUGGGACUGCAAGCUAGUGCUGAUGGAAUAGCUCAGCCAUGGCGUUGGGGUCUGAGUUGGAGUCGCCACCGGUGUGGCAUGUGGAUGCCAUGUUGAUGCCGGCACGUAAUGAGCGCAUUACGCACUUCGAGGCAGUCGAGGGAACGAAGCCAGGAGUUGCCUGAUAACAAGACAGCCCUUACAACCUGCCUUAUUUGCCACCUUUACACGCGGAAAAAUAAGUAUGCGCAUGUACAUUGUAAGG
Non-coding RNA from Drosophila melanogaster (fruit fly), 1321 nucleotides. The record is from Ensembl. NCBI's taxonomy places the organism in Eukaryota, Metazoa, Arthropoda, Insecta, Diptera, Drosophilidae.